GACGGAGGGUGCAAGCGUUGCUCGGAAUCACUGGGCGUAAAGGGUGCGUAGGCGGCCUUUCAAGUCUAAUGUGAAAGCCAGAGGCUUAACCUCGGAAGGGCAUUAGAAACUGGAAGGCUUGAGUACCGGAAGGGAGAGUGGAAUUACCGGUGUAGCGGUGAAAUGCGUAGAUAUCGGGAGAAACACCAGUGGCGACAGCGACUCUCUGGACGGUUACUGACGCUGAGGCACGAAAGCGUGGGGAGCAAACAGG
RNAcentral lists this ribosomal RNA (253 nucleotides) under uncultured bacterium. RNAcentral describes it as "partial 16S ribosomal RNA". It matches the Rfam family "Bacterial small subunit ribosomal RNA", at positions 524 to 776 of the family's 1533-position model. The record is from RNAcentral.